UACGGGGGGGGUAAGCGUUGUUCGGAAUUACUGGGCGUAAAGGGCUCGUAGGCGGCCAACUAAGUCGGCCGUGAAAUCCCUCAGCUUAACUGGGGAACUGCGUCCGAUACUGGAUGGCUUGGAUUUGGGAGAGGGAUGCGGAAUUCCAGGUGUAGCGGUGAAAUGCGUAGAUAUCUGGAGGAACACCGGUGGCGAAGGCGGCAUCCUGGACCAACAUUGACGCUGAGGAGCGAAAGCUAGGGGAGCAAACGGG
This 253-nucleotide ribosomal RNA is filed under the name uncultured bacterium. Its description in RNAcentral is "partial 16S ribosomal RNA". It matches the Rfam family "Bacterial small subunit ribosomal RNA", at positions 524 to 776 of the family's 1533-position model. The record is from RNAcentral.